Molecule: long non-coding RNA, 2071 nt
Organism: Clupea harengus (Atlantic herring)
Lineage: Eukaryota; Metazoa; Chordata; Actinopteri; Clupeiformes; Clupeidae
Source: Ensembl
CUUUCUUUACCUUCACUUUGGCUGGCUUAGCCUUCUCCUUCACAGGUUCUGCUUUAGCCUUCUCCUUCACAGGUUCUGGCUUAGCUUUCUCCUUUACAGCUUCUGGCUUAGCCUUCUCCUUUACAGCUUCUGGCUUACCCUUCUUUACAGCUUCUGGCUUAGUCUUCUUUACAGGGGUGGGUUCUGCUUUAGCCUUCUCCUUUGCAGGUUCUGGCUUAGCUUUCUCCUUCACAGGUUCUGGUUUAGCUUUCUCCUUUACAGGGACGGGUUCUGCUUUAGCCUUCUCCUUCACAGGUUCUGCUUUAGCCUUCUCCUUCACAGGUUCUGCUUUAGCCUUCUCCUUUGCAGGGUCUGGUUUAGCUUCAUCCUUUACAGGUGCAGGUUCUGGCUUAGCCUUCCUUACAGGGGUGGGUUCUGCUUUAGCCUUCUCCUUUGCAGGUUCUGGCCUAGCCUUCUCUUUUACAGAUUCUGGACUAGCUUUCUCCUUCACAGGUUCUGCUUUAGCCUUCUCCUUCACAGGGGUGGGUUCUAGCUUAGCAUUCUCCUUCACAGGUACAGGCUUAGCCUUUUCUUUCAAAGGUGCAGCCUUGUCUUCCUCCUUCACAGGUACAGGCUUAACCUUUUCUUUCAAAGGUGCAGCCUUGUCUUCCUCCUUCACAGGUACAGGCUUAGCCUUUUCUUUCAAAGGUGCAGCCUUGUCUUCCUCCUUCACAGGUACAGGCUUAGCCUUUUCUUUCAAAGGUGCAGCCUUGUCUUCCUCCUUCACAGGUACAGGCUUAGCCUUUUCUUUCAAAGGUGCAGCCUUAUCUUCCUCCUUCACAGGUACAGGCUUAGCUUUUUCUUUCAAAGGUGCAGCCUUGUCUUCCUCCUUCACAGGAACAGGCUUAGCUUUUUCUUUAGUUGGUUCUGGUCUAGCUUUCGCUUUAGGGAGCUCUGGCUUAACUUUCUCCUUAGCAGGCUCUGGCUUGGCUUUUUCCUUUACAGGCUCAGGCUUUGCUUUCUCCUUCAUGGUUUCUGGUUUAGCUUUUUCCUUAACAGCUUCUGGCUUUACCUUCUCUUUAGCAGGUUCUUUUUUAGCUUUGUCCUUCACAGGUUCUGCCUCAGCUUUCUCCUUCAUGGGUACUGGCUUAGCUUUUUCUUUUGCAGGUGCAGGUUCUGGUUUAGUCUUCUCUACUGCUGGUUCUGGCUCAGUUUUCUCCUUCAGAGCUUCUUUCUUAGCCUUUUCUUUCAGGGUCUUCAUUUUCUCCUUCACUGGUUCUGGCUUAACCUCCUCCCUUGUGGGCACUGGCUUUGCAGUUUCUUUUACAGUUAUUUUCUUAGCGGUUUCCUUUCCAGGUUCAAGCUUAAGUUCUUCCUUUUUGGGCUUAGGCUCAGCUUUCUCCUUCACAGGUUCUGGUGUAGCCUUCUCUUUUACAAGUUCUUCCUUAGCUCUCUCCUUUUUGGGCUCUGGCUUUGCCUUCUCUGCAAUGGGCUUUGGUUUGGCCUUGUCCUUAGGAGAUUCUGGCCUAGGUUUCUCCUCCUUGAAUUCUACCAUAGCUUCUUCCUUAUCGGUAGUAGGUUCUGGUUUAGCCUUCUCCUUUACGGAUUCUAGCUUGGCUUUCUGCUUUUCUGGUUCUGGCUUAGUCUUCUCCGUAAUGGGUUCUUGCUUAGGUUUCUCUUUUUCAGAUUUUGGCUUAGCUUUUUCCUUUACCGAUGCAGGCUCUGGCUUAGCUUUUACCUUUACCGAUGCAGGCUCUGGCUUAGCUUGCACCUUUACCGAUGCAGGCUCUGGCUUAGGUUCUUCUUUUACAGAUGCAGGCUCUGGCUUAGCUUUUUCCUUUACCGAUGCAGGCUCUGGCUUAGCUUGCACCUUUACCGAUGCAGGCUCUGGCUUAGCUUUUUCCUUUACCGAUGCAGGCUCUGGCUUAGCUUUUUCCUUUACCGAUGCAGGCUCUGGCUUAGCUUGCACCUUUACCGAUGCAGGCUCUGGCUUAGCUUUUUCCUUUACCGAUGCAGGCUUAGGUUCUUCUUUUACAGGUUCUGGUUUAUCUUUUUCCUUCACAGGUACAGGUGGAGGUGCAGGUUCUGAAUU